AGCACAUGCUUAGACAUGCCGUAGACAGAAGGUGCCCUGCUGGGCUUAAUAUCCUUCCGAGGCGUGGGUCAGGUUUCUUCAAUUUGCGGAUAGCCCCAAUGAGAAAUCCUAUCCUUCGUCUGUCUACAGGCGAAGGAUUUUUUUGUUUAGUUA
Molecule: regulatory RNA element, 153 nt
Organism: Caldalkalibacillus thermarum TA2.A1
Lineage: Bacteria; Bacillati; Bacillota; Bacilli; Caryophanales; Bacillaceae
Rfam family: Ribosomal protein L10 leader
About the family: This family is a putative r-protein leader autoregulatory structure found in B. subtilis and other low-GC Gram-positive bacteria. It is located in the 5' untranslated regions of mRNAs encoding ribosomal proteins L10 and L12 (rplJ-rplL).
Source: Rfam